UUCUCUUCCUUCUCUCUCUUUCCCGUAUACUCUCCCUCUCUGCAAACCCCUUGAACGAACCUUAAACUUCUCAGAACGAACCUAAAAACUACCCCAUUGUACUAAUCUCAAUCCCACGAUCACAACCAUGUCCUUGAACCUGAUUUAAACGAGUUUUGAUUCGUUAACUCGGAAGGUCCGAACUCGGCUGAACUGAGAUCAACGUGUUUUCAAACAAGUUAGGAUGUUUUAAAGCUUGGGAAGGCUUCUACACAACAUUCUAAGGGUCCUAGGCUUGUUUUGGAAGAAGGUCAACGUGAAACGACCGAGUUUCAAGGAGUUCACUUUUGGCCGGAACUUUCGAGGCAUUUUCCGACAACCUCCGUCCACUUUUUGGACUCCAAACAGAAAUCCGACGAAAAUUUAGUUGUAGACGGCGGCGACGGCGUGGACAAUCGGAGAAGGUGAUGGAAUAUUCCGUCAGAGUUGACAGAAUAUACCUGAAGGAUUCAGGGGAAACGUAUCCCAAGGACGUUCGAGGCCAAGCUAGGCUCAGAGGUUACGACCCAGUAACGUACUUAUAUCCGGACUCAGGUGAUCAUUGAGCGUGGUAUUAAGAGGAGGGGUUGUACUAUGUUGAUGAUGUUGCACAUGGCCGUGUUCAUCAAGUUCAAGGUUGUGACAAUGGAAAUUUGAAGACUGUUCAGUUAUGGCAAUGUCAAUUAGGUCAUGCCUCUUUUGGUUAUCUAUGAGUUUGAAUAAAAGAACCGCUUCUUUUAAGUUAAUUCA
Malus domestica (apple) is the source of this 768-nucleotide long non-coding RNA. RefSeq lists it as uncharacterized. NCBI's taxonomy places the organism in Eukaryota, Viridiplantae, Streptophyta, Magnoliopsida, Rosales, Rosaceae. The record is from RefSeq and is a predicted model, not a curated record.